This is a long non-coding RNA of Pundamilia nyererei, 366 nucleotides long. RefSeq lists it as uncharacterized. Lineage: Eukaryota; Metazoa; Chordata; Actinopteri; Cichliformes; Cichlidae. The transcript has 3 exons. The record is from RefSeq and is a predicted model, not a curated record.
CUGAGUUUUGUAUCACUCAUGACCAGCAGUGUCUUUGUUUAGGCACACCAAUGAAAAUUCUCAGUUUUUUGACCAACAUCUUAAAGCACUGUUUGAAGACUUACAGAAUCAUACUGCAAAGACGGAUGCAUUAAUAAAGAAGCUGGGCAUUGACAAUGUGUAUGAACAGCGUGAUGCUGCAGAGUACUUUGAGAAGAUUUUAACACUGACCAGUCCUCAGGCCUCACAGAUCUUCCAUGGCAUGUUGGCAAAAAAGACCACCUGUUGUAAAUGCCUGACAGAGACUGACAUAGAUAUACCGUUCUGGCAUCUUCCUCUUGCACUGGUGGAUUCCUGCACUGACACAAAAGGAAGUGAAGGAUACAG